GGUACCGCCUGCCCAGUGACUCUUUAAACGGCCGCGGUAUCCUAACCGUGCAAAGGUAGCAUAAUCACUUGUCCCCUAAAUAGGGACUAGAAUGAACGGCUAAAUGAGGACUAAACUGUCUCUUAUAGGCUGACCAAUGAAAUUGAUUUUCCAGUACAAAAGCUGGAAUAAAUACAUAAGACGAGAAGACCCUGUGGAGCUUCAAAACCAAAAGCACCAAAUUUGCUUUCUUGGAUUUUUAGUUGGGGCGACUUCGGAGCACAAAAAAACCUCCGAAACAUGACAAUUAACCUAAUCAAGAUUAACACAUCAAAACAAACACAUGAGACCCAGUAACUACCAUAAACGUUAUCUGACCAAUGAACCAAGUUACCCCAGGGAUAACAGCGCCAUCCCCUUCUAGAGUCCAUAUCGACAAGGGGGUUUACGACCUCGAUGUUGGAUCAGGACACCCCAAUGGUGCAGCCGCCUUUAAAGGUUCGUUUGUUCAACGAUUAAAGUCCUA
RNAcentral lists this ribosomal RNA (505 nucleotides) under Dinarolacerta montenegrina. RNAcentral's name for it is "partial 16S ribosomal RNA". It matches the Rfam family "Bacterial large subunit ribosomal RNA", at positions 1851 to 2598 of the family's 2925-position model. The record is from RNAcentral. Lineage: Eukaryota; Metazoa; Chordata; Lepidosauria; Squamata; Lacertidae.